GACGAACGCUGGCGGCGUGCUUAACACAUGCAAGUCGAACGGGCCUGUCUUCUUUUUUGGGGGUGGGUUGAGUGGCGAACGGGUGAGUAUCACGUGAGUAACCUGCCCUUCGGUCCUGGAUAACCGCUUGAAAGGGCGGCUAAUACGGGGUGGUCCGGUUGGUCCGCAUGGGCUGGUCGGGAUAGAUUCACUGUUUUUGGUGUUUCGGCGGGGGAUGGGCUCGCGGCCUAUCAGCUUGUUGGUGGGGUGAUGGCCUACCAAGGCGGUGACGGGUAGCCGGCCGGAGAGGGUGGGCGGCCACACUGGGACUGAGAUACGGCCCAGACUCCUGCGGGAGGCAGCAGUGGGGGGUAUUGCACAAUGGGCGGAAGCCUGAUGCAGCGACGUCGCGUGAGGGAGGGAGGCCUUCGGGUUGUGAACCUCUGUUUCCGGUGGUGAAGGCCCUGUCCGUGUGGUGGGGUUGACGGUAGCCGGGGAUGAAGCGCCGGCUAACUACGUG
RNAcentral lists this ribosomal RNA (499 nucleotides) under uncultured bacterium. RNAcentral's name for it is "partial 16S ribosomal RNA". It matches the Rfam family "Bacterial small subunit ribosomal RNA", at positions 28 to 507 of the family's 1533-position model. The record is from RNAcentral.